UACGUAGGGUGCAAGCGUUAAUCGGAAUUACUGGGCGUAAAGCGUGCGCAGGCGGUUAUAUAAGACAGAUGUGAAAUCCCCGGGCUUAACCUGGGAAUGGCGCUUGUGACUGCAAAGCUGGAGUGCGGCAGAGGGGGAUGGAAUUCCGCGUGUAGCAGUGAAAUGCGUAGAUAUGCGGAGGAACACCAAUGGCGAAGGCAAUCCCCUGGGCCUGUACUGACGCUCAUGCACGAAAGCGUGGGGAGCAAACAGG
RNAcentral lists this ribosomal RNA (253 nucleotides) under uncultured bacterium. Its description in RNAcentral is "partial 16S ribosomal RNA". It matches the Rfam family "Bacterial small subunit ribosomal RNA", at positions 524 to 776 of the family's 1533-position model. The record is from RNAcentral.